AUCCUGGCUCAGAGCGAACGUUAGCGGCGGGCCUAACACAUGCAAGUCGAACGCGAAAGGUCUUCGGACUGAGUAGAGUGGCGCACGGGUGAGUAACACGUAGGUAAUCUACCCUUUGGCGGGGGAUAACGUUCCGAAAGGAGCGCUAAUACCGCAUAAGACCACGGAGUCUCCGGACGCUGUGGGAAAAGGUGGCCUCUUCUUGAAAGCUAUCACCGAAGGAUGAGCCUGCGUCCCAUCAGCUAGUUGGUAAGGUAAUGGCUUACCAAGGCGAAGACGGGUAGCUGGUUUGAGAGAAUGAUCAGCCACACUGGCACUGGAACACGGGCCAGACUCCUACGGGAGGCAGCAGUGAGGAAUAUUGGGCAAUGGGCGAAAGCCUGACCCAGCCACGCCGCGUGAGUGAUGAAGGCCCUCGGGUCGUAAAGUUCUGUGGAGAGGGACGAAAACCCUGGUUUCAAAUAGGCUCCAGGCUUGACGGUACCUCUUUAGCAAGCACCGGCUAACUCUGUG
This 513-nucleotide ribosomal RNA is filed under the name uncultured bacterium. Its description in RNAcentral is "bacterial SSU rRNA". It matches the Rfam family "Bacterial small subunit ribosomal RNA", at positions 16 to 507 of the family's 1533-position model. The record is from RNAcentral.